GAUGAACGCUAGCUACAGGCUUAACACAUGCAAGUCGAGGGGCAGCAUGGUCUUAGCUUGCUAAGGCCGAUGGCGACCGGCGCACGGGUGAGUAACACGUAUCCAACCUGCCGUCUACUCUUGGACAGCCUUCUGAAAGGAAGAUUAAUACAAGAUGGCAUCAUGAGUUCACAUGUUCACAUGAUUAAAGGUAUUCCGGUAGACGAUGGGGAUGCGUUCCAUUAGAUAGUAGGCGGGGUAGCGGCCCACCUAGUCUUCGAUGGAUAGGGGUUCUGAGAGGAAGGUCCCCCACAUUGGAACUGAGACACGGUCCAAACUCCUACGGGAGGCAGCAGUGAGGAAUAUUGGUCAAUGGGCGAGAGCCUGAACCAGCCAAGUAGCGUGAAGGAUGACUGCCCUAUGGGUUGUAAACUUCUUUUAUAAAGGAAUAAAGUCGGGUAUGUAUACCCGUUUGCAUGUACUUUAUGAAUAAGGAUCGGCUAACUCCGUG
Molecule: ribosomal RNA, 490 nt
Filed under: uncultured bacterium
Lineage: Bacteria
Description: partial 16S ribosomal RNA
Rfam family: Bacterial small subunit ribosomal RNA
Source: RNAcentral